AACAAGGUAGUUUAAGUUGAAAAUUUCUAUUUUACACGUAGAGGAUGGCGAGUGCCUAUUGUUA
RNAcentral lists this transfer RNA (64 nucleotides) under Paramphistomum cervi. Its description in RNAcentral is "tRNA-Val". The record is from RNAcentral. Lineage: Eukaryota; Metazoa; Platyhelminthes; Trematoda; Plagiorchiida; Paramphistomidae.